UUUUCAGCUUUAGAUUGAGGUCAGAAACUGUCACAAAGUCUUAAAUUCUAUUAUGAGUCAUAUGCAUCCAAUGCGUGGUGGUCCAGUUUAUGACCACAUAAAAGGACAAUUUGUUGUUUAAUGUCAGCUUUGAGUUUAGGAUGCAUCCCAGACAUAUUACUUAUUUUGGGAGAUGUUUCUCUCAGCUGUUAAUGAAGCAAU
This is an unclassified non-coding RNA of Microcebus murinus (gray mouse lemur), 201 nucleotides long. Lineage: Eukaryota; Metazoa; Chordata; Mammalia; Primates; Cheirogaleidae. The record is from Ensembl.